CAGCUAGACUUGAAAAAUGUAAUUAAUAAUCUCUGUUCUCAGUUGAGCUCUGACUGUUGUUGUUAUUAAUUCUGCUUGACACCAACAGAUCUCCUUCAUGAAGGCUAUCUUUAAACAGUCUGGCUUUCUCUUCAUCAUCUCUGCAUUCUCUCUGAAUAGCUAGUUGGCUAAUGUAGCCUUUCUUGUCAUAAGGCCUGAUGUCUGCUUUAUUUGUUUACAGCUUACUACAUAGAUACUUUAUGUUGUGUUUAAUAGCUUGCAUAGUUCCCUUCUUGUGGCUGCCUGAAUUUGGAAUUGUAUGGAAAUCUCUGGAGAGGGAGGUUGCUCCCUUCCUGAGAUCAUGCUCAGGAGGGACGUGUUUCUGAAAAGUAGACUAUGGCAGCUAGGUUUUGAAGCAGAACAAAUGAAGAGAGCAAGAGACUUACCAGACAGGCAGGUAACAGGCACACGGGGGUCAGGAGGAGGCUGGAGUAUUUAUACACCUAGAAGGGGCAUAGUGGCUGCUCCAUUGAAGCAAGACCGAAGAGGAGAAACUUAGUCUGUAAGGACUUGGUAGGGAGAAAGGAGCGUAAUUUUCAAAACUUUUAAUAUUUGUUUUUUAUUUGACCAGUCUUGAGAGUUUCCUACUUAAAAAUGAUGUUCUACUUCAUGUUUAGAUAUUGCAAGCACUUUGGUGUUUUGGAGCACUCCCUUUAAGGGCAGGCUGUGGGCAGAUCCACCUCAGAAGUGUGCCUGACCUGGUCUCUGCUCAGCUGUGAUCAUAGGGGUUCCUUUGUUUCUUAUAGUCAUGUUUUGUGUCGUGACCUUUUUGCUUGUGCUCCAGCUGCUUGUGCUAUUCUAUUAUGCUCCUCUUUAGUGGUAUGACCUAGUUGGUAAGAUUUUUUUCUGUGUUUGAGGUCAAUGAGGAACUCAUGAUUUAGCAGGGCUAGUCUCAUACAACACUUCUGUCCUUUUACAUGGAAAUGAACAGAAUUUGUGUCCUCAGUUAUUAGUUCUCUCCCAUGCUGCCAACAUUAUCCUUACUAUUUUCUUUUGUGCAUUGAGAACAGCAGUAAUGCCUGAUUCCAAGGAUGAAAGGUCAGAUAAGUCCAUACGGUUCAGUCCCAGCUUUCUCCAGGACAGAGUACUUGCUCUUAAACUCAUGGCUUCUGACUGUAACAUUGUCUGCCUGCAGAUGCUGUUAGCAACCAGCUUCUUCUCUGUGCAGUUGCCGGGUUAUUCUUUACUACUGGCUCCUGUUCUGUAUAGCUGUCCAAGUGGUUUAUAGUGGCCCUGGUAUCCUUUCACAUCCUUCUGAUCACAGGUGUAUCUCUGGCCUUAUCAGUUAGCUCGCUUUCCUUCCUGAAAGUAUAUACUGGCAGGUCUCGUUGCAUCAGACACCUCCUUCCCAGCCUUCACUGGAACACAAAUGUUGAUGUCUCUUUUUUCAAGUACAGCUCAGGACUAUAGCAAAGGUAUUCAGAUUCCUAACUUGGCAUGGUUCACAGUUACAGGUAGAUGGCUAUUGGUGGUACUACUCUUUGUCCUCAUUGGUCUUCUGUGUAUUAUAACAUUUAUUGACUGUUCUUUAUAUCCCUUUAGGAAUGUCUUCUAUUUAUUGCUCAAACAUAUCAGGCUAUGGAAAGUGUUACUAAGUUACUGUUAGUUGCAAACUAAUGAAUUUCCCAUCUUCUCCACCUGCAAACAUGCAGCCCUGUUGUACUGAACCCUACCUGUUUGUAUUUUCAAGAAGGAAGAAACUAGAAUAGAAGGUAAGAUCUGACUAUAUCAAUGAAGAAGGACAUAGAAGAUUUCUAUUUUAAAUUAUACAUAAUUAGACUAUACGUUCUGAAUGUUCAUGUGUAUUCUUGGAAGAGAACUGCCAGGCAUAGAAGAAUGUAUUUAGACCUGGGUUCCAGGACCUAGAACUUGCUUAUGUGGUAAGGAACUCUACCUCAAUUAUUACAAGACACUCAAGCGACACUUUAAAAGCUUUUACUGUGCAAGCUCUUUUCUUGUUGAAAAUAAAUUUGACUUCAUUGUUGUGAUGAAGUGCAAGAUUAUUUGGUAGAUUACCAAGGAUUUAGAGAGUACUGAAGGUAAUCUGAGGCAAACUUGGAAAACUAAGAUAAAAUAUUCUGCUGCUGUGAUGUAUUGUAAAAUAUAUAUAUUAGUAGCAUAACCCAUUGCAGGAAGAUAUUGAAGCAGGGUUUCAGUGCUUCAAAAAGUGUGUUAGAAGAAUAAUGGGAACAUGCAUUGGAUAAAUUCCUUAUGUCAGGACACAGACAACUAAAGCAUUUAUGUACAAUGUAUAGAUUUGUUUUGUCCUUCUCUGAAUGUCUAAUGCUAGCUUAUGUCCAAGACAGAAUAUUUAAUUAGAUGAACUUUAAUUGUGAUCUGGAAUGAUAAUCUGUAUAUUUUGUUUGAUAUUUCCACAAAUGUGUAGAGGAAUUGGAAAUUACAGAAAUUUUGUCCCAAUCUAAAACUUUACAUAAAUUUGGUUUUCUGACUAUUUUUUUCCUUUCAUAAAAGAUAGCAUUUCAUAUGAAAUCCAAAGGAAGAAAUUAGCAGGACUGAACAGAAGUUGGCAAAGCUGAACAUUUUCAUGGUAAAUUUUUAUGUGGCUAUGAAAAUGAUGGAUUUCAUGGAUUAUUUUCUUUAGUGUAGGAACAGUUCUAAUUGUACUUUGCCGUAAAUGUUAAACUAGGAUUUUGAAUUUAGCCCGUGGCAGUAUAACAAGAACUUAUGCCAACUUGCAGCGCUGUGCAGCUGCUGAAAAGCCCCGCUCUACAAGAACCUUGAAAUGUAUGAAUGCAGCGCUGUCGAUCUUUGAAAAUCAUUGGAGCAGAUUCUACUCUAAUGGAUGCCAGUAUAAACCUGGAAUUGCUUCUGUGAUGACUGUUGAAGACUUUUAAUCAAUGCAAAUGAAAUAGUGGUUUUGUUCAUUGAAACAGGCAUGGAUUUAUGGGGAAGGGAAGGACUAAGAAGGCUAAACUGUCCAAUUAGCAUCAGACAGCCUGGCACACUGCUUUUAAAUUGGGGCUGUAUCUGUCCCUGAGUGACAGUAACCAGUGUAGCAAGACUGUUGUAAAGCAGAGGAUAUAACUACACCAAAAUAAGAGGGUCUUCACUUAUGUUGGUAGAUGCAGACAUCUGUGCAACACCUGCACUGCCUUUGUUGUUUUCCAAAAGCACCUAAGUGAAUUAAGGAAAAAGCUUAACUAAAAUAACUUUUUUCCUUGGAGUUUCAUCCUAUACGUUGCUUAGGAACAUUUUCAGAGUCCAUUCUAAGUCACUAUAAUUCAGUUUUCCAUUAAAUUGUUUAGAUAAAACAUUUCAGUGGUAAUAUAGUUGAUAAACAUAAUGUGCCAAAUAUAUCUCUGCUGUAAUUAUGCUGAGGAAAACGGAAAUUAUGUAAAACCAAGGACUGAUAAUCGAAGGAGAUUCUGUGGCAGUGUUUGGGGUUGCCUCUACUUGUAUCAUUGGUGAACGUAACCCUGAAAACUAUUUUCAGGACACACGGGGAAGGAGGAUAUGCACGUUGUAGGUAUGAAUAGUUCGGCCUUAUAACAUACUCACUGUUAACACAUCAGGAAUUAAAUCCACAAGAGCCAUGUUUCUUCCUUCUCCCUCUGAAUAAUGAAGAGGCUAUAUGUUGUCUUAGGCAGGGCUUACAUUUCUCUGCUACCUUCAGAGCUGUGUAAACAGGAGGGAUGGAGAACCGUACUGCAGUGAGGAGUUACAGGUUCCACUCCGGCCAGUAACUAAUGGGACUUCUGUCAUUGAAUUUGGUCUAUCUAACAGCCAGACUUCUAGACCGAAGUAGCCAUUUCUACAUUCUGUAGUCACGAAGUAAGGAACAGCUGGAAAGAGCAAGUCAUCCCAUCUAUCUUAGGAUGUUAAUGAAUUGCCCUGUGAAAGUACUUGUUUCUCUCCAGCGAUACUAGAGGAAACUUAGGCAAUGAUCUCAGCUUAUUAAAAAAGAAUGAAAAGGUUCUUACUCUAAUAGGAAGCUGUUAGUAAUCAAGAAAUGACUCCCACUGCCUAUAUGCAGGAGUGCACCGAUCACAGUAUUCCUAUGCUUACUUCUCAAAAGGAGGUGUGACUCUACAUCUAAAGCAGCACUUUGAUAAGGCUGAGGUAUUAUUGUAACUAAAUUACUUCCCUGCUUGAAGACCUCCAUCUUUGGUACCUGUUGUGAUAUGUUGCCCAGAAGGGAGCUCGAGGUCAUUUGCCUAACCUUUGUUUGUGGGUUGUAGAAGUCAGCAAUCCCAGUCUUCAUUUUUCUUAUCUUUUUUCUUUCCAUCCUAUGGCAGUAAAUCAGCUCCCACUGAGUUCCCAUUUUGGAACUGCCCUCUAAUCUGAUGGCAGACUCCCAAAGGACACAAUUCCAGUAGUCAGGUGCACCUUUGAGGUAUCACAUAGCGGUGUUUGAGGGAUGCCCUCCAAAGGCACUGCCAGCCAAGUAUGUUUUGCUUUCUUGGGAAAGAAUGUUUUCAUUCUGUUUUUAAUUUCAUUUUGGAUUUAAACAUUUCUUUAAAAUGUGUAAAGGUGCAGAGCAGAGCUGUAGGUCUUUCUGUUUAGUUUCUGUUUUCAAGCAAGGUAGUUAUCUUGGAGACCAAUGACAGGCAUUUGGAAAAAGCAAAAGCAAUGCUUCAAGUGUGUCCAUUGGAUAAGGCAGAUGGCAAUAGCAGAGAACUUAGGUUUUCCACUUAGUAUUCCUUCAGCCUGUUUUAUUUUAGUCUUCGAAGACAACACUGUAUUUUCAGAUACUCAACUAAAUCUGGGCAGACAAAUACAUUUCCUACAAAUCUGAGAAAACACACAUUCUGGAAUCAGUUCUUUGUUGUCUCCAGGUGAAAGGGAAAUGUUGUUUCUUGCUAUGCAGUCUUAUGGUACGCAGGUACUAGUGAGUAUCUUGGCAUUCUGUGAUUUAGUGCAAUUUCCACAGAUUUGAUUCAAGGAGAUUCUGUCACUUGAACUUCAGUCAGUUCCAAACCCAGACUUUAGGUUUUUUGAUAGUAGGAGAAUUCCUGACUUUCAACCUGUUUUUGAGAACUGCUGAUUCUCAGACAUUCUCACAGACUUUUCUGAGGGUCCAGGCCAUGAGUACUCUACAUUUCUCAGGAUUAAAUUUUGCAAAGAUUUCUACUGUGACAAUUUUUUUUUCUUUGAUAUUAAGGCUACCCUAUUCUGCCUCUGCUGCAGCACAUUAUAAAUUGCUUUCAUGUAACCUGUGUUUCCCACUGAGUGGCAGAUACCUUGGAUUCAAGAACAACCCUAUAGAGAUGAAGCUUUCCUAAGAAUUUUGAUUCAGAUUAAAGCUUACAAUGUUAAUAUUUUUAGUAAGGCUUUUCAACUUACGUUACAGAAGGUAUGCUUUGCUGACUAGAUGAGGCAUGUUAUCUCUCUGCAGGAAUCCUUCCUAUGUCAUAGCCAAAAAAUGGCAGUUUAAAAUCUUUUAUUUGGAUUUCAUUACAUUAGGCAGAACCUUUCAGUGCAAAACCCCAGAUGUUUUAAUGCAUUAAAAAAAAAAAUACUCUGCUGCAUACACCUAGCCAAAUUAAUUAUUCAGUAGAAUGUUUGUGGUGGAGCAGCAGUUAAUAGAAGAGUGGCAGAUGCCAUACACAGAAGUGUCCAUUUCACUGUGCUGCUCUAUGGUCUGUUGUGACAGCUAAAUGAAGCAGCUCAACAGCUGUCAGCAUGUUAAUGUUUUGGAUUAAAUAAACACACUUGGAAGAACUUUCCUCUGAUUUUUAAGACGUAAUGACUUUGGAGGCGGCCAUAUAUCUUUGCAGAUGAAGUUUGAAGUAUUUUGGAAGUGACACCCAGACAAAAUGAGGAGUUAACAUUGAGCUGUAAGGUAGACCGGUAUGUUUUUGUUUCUUAGCUCUGAGCCUCAGUGGAGAUUAGAAAUUCCUACUUAAUCUAAAUACCUGACUUAAAGAAAGGUUGCAGUGAGGUAGAUACUCUUCUUCCUUAGCUUUAUAGUCUUUAAUAAGCAUAAGAGAAGAGAAGCUUUUAAUUUGUGAAAAGUGAGGCAAAUUGCGUGGUUUAACCCUGUUCAGCGACUAAGCACCACGCAGCCGCUCGCUCAGUGUCCCCACAGUGGGAUGUGGGAGAGGAUUGCGGGAGUAAAAGUGAGAAAACUUGUGAGAUAAAGGCAGCUUAAUAGGUAAAGCUGCGCAUGCAAGCAAAGCAAAACAAGGAAUUCAUUCACUGCUUCCCACCGACAGGCAGGUGUUCAGCCAUCCCCAGGAAAGCAGGGCUGCAUCACACCUAACCGUUACUUGGGAAGACAAAUGCCAUAAUGCCAAAUGUCUCCCUCUUGCUGCUUCUUCCCCCAGCUUACAUACAUUAAGCAUGACAUCAUAUGGUAUGGAAUAUCCUUUUGUCUAGUUCAGGUCAGCUGUCCUGGCUGCAUCCUCUCCCAGUUUCCCGUGCCCCUCCAGCCCUCUCGCUGGCAGGGCCUGAGACACUGAAGAGUCCCUGACUUAGUAUAAACAUCACCCAGCAAUAACCAAACCUGUCCGUGUGCUGUCAACAUUGUUCUCACACCAAACCCAAACCACAGCACUGCACCAGCUACUAAGAGGAAAAUUAACUCUGUCCCAGCUGAAACCAGGACCAAGUCCAAAAAGCUGGAUACAUAUAAACAUAAACCCAGUAUGACUUCUGUCCAUUUCUGUUAAAUUCUACCCAGAAAACUCAGGGCUGAAUGCAUGAUCAUUUAAAAAUAUUUCUGGUUUGGUUUUUUUUGUUGGUCAAUGAUCGCUUUGUAAUAUAGUCAGCUGAUUCUCCAAGAAACCUUCUGUCUUGCCUGGGGGUUUUCUUGAUUGCCUUCCUGACCUCAACUAUUUUGGAGUUGCAGUGCCUGAUAUGGGUGUAAUAUAUGGACAGGUUCUGCUGUGUAUAGCUGGCCAGUUCUUGAUCAUUUCCAGGUAGCUUAUCUAUUUCAUAGCGUCUGAGAGGACAUCCUUUAUUGUUAUGAAAAAUACAGCUGGUGGGAUUCUUUUUAGUGUGAUACUUUUCAUGCUUGGCUGUCAGAUUGAAUAGGGGUGUAUCUUUUAGCACCAAGGCUGCUGGAGAAUGAUGAGAUAAAUUACUGUCAUACUUUUCUCCUCUCUUGAGUUCCUGCUGCUUUUUUCUCUUAGUGUCUGCUUUUGACUGUGGCUGGCUGGCUUGUGUCACAAAAUAAGAAACACACAGGACACCCAAGGUCUAGACCAUUCCUGGGCUUGCAGGAAUGAGUGAAGCUGUAUCAUCAUCAGAGCAUCUUAGAAGUAGGAAAGAAGCAUUUGUGACAGCAUCUGAGGAACUGCAAGGGAGCUACAUCUUUAACUGUAUCUGUGGAUGGAGCCAACAAGCACUUAUUUUCCUGACACCCAACCCUUCCCAGUAUCUGAUUUUUAAAGAGUGCAAGCAUGAGCAAUUAUUGCAUUACUUACCCUGCUGCUCUGUCCUCAUUUGUUCACAAAGAGAGUGGAAGUUUAGUGACCUGCUUUGAGAAAUGCAUAGAGACCAUGGAAGACUGGAGAAGAGUUUGCCUGGGAACUCUACCAAAAACGUAAUUUUUGUAACUUUUUCUACAUUAACCCUGGGAUCUUUACAAUAUACUUUCCUUAUGAAAGGUAACACCAGCAGCAGAUAGAUGAGCUCACUCUUUUAAUCUGGUGUUUUGUUUUGGUUUUUAUUAAAUGCAAAUGCAUGGAUGACAAGCAAUGAUAUAAAUACAAACAUUGGUAUGAAAUACGCAGAAGUAAAAGGUAAUGCCAUAAUGCUGGAAAAUGAGGAUUGCUGCAACUUAAGUAUAGAAGCCUGCAGACUUUUGUUGCUUGGGUUUUUCAUUUGGUCACUCUUUGAGUAAUCGUGGGGUUGAAACUGUGUGGCAGUCACCCCAUGUUCAGUCUGGAGGCAUCAGAAGGGAGCUUUUAGUAGCCGUUACUUCCAGAGCCCCAUGGGAACAAGUUUGGCAGACCUGUUUUUUGAAGUCUGCUGAGGCCAUUGGAUGGUGGUAGUAUGCCAGUGAAGAUAAAACGCCUUUGCAUUUCUCUGUGUUCACUUCUUUCCUUUCCUGAAUUAUUGCAGUACUCUCAUCAAUCAGCAGGCAGGCCAUGGUGCCUUGCUCAGUGAGCUUUCGGCAUGAGCUUUCCAGCUCUUCUCUCCUGUUUCUCAGACCAGAGGUGGCCCUUCUAGUUCUCACACAUCUUUGGUCUGGCGGUGUGGCUGUUCUCAAAUAAUAAAAAACACUUUUGAAUAGUAUGGAGAAGAUGGAAAAGAAGCUGAUAGAAACCCAAGGUGGACACCCUGACUGCAGGAACUUCAUGAUGGGCAUGGAGGAGCUGUUCAGUCUGCCUUCCCAUGACUCUGCUGGCUAUGCAAAUAUGAAGGACAAACAAGUAAAUGAAGUUGAUAAGAUUCUAAAUGGAUAGUGAGCUGACCAGGUAAAUGAAGAGUGCUCUGUUUUAACACAGACCUCUUUUUGGUAUCAUAUACAGAUGUUUUGUUAAUGAUGAACCUUUUUUAGCCUUUGUAGAAAGGGCCAGUUUUGAGGCUCAUCACAGCGUGGAUGGGAGAGUGGAUUGCAUAUUAAUUGCGUAAAGUACAGACCAUAUGUACAGUUCAUGUUUCCAUGGGUUUAUGGGCCCCGAUCAAUGUACUUAACCAGCUUCUGUGCCCAGGGGAAACUGAAAUCUGCACGAAAGAGUAGGUAAAGCACAGAGCUCCCACUAAGGGAAGCUGUUUAAGGACCUGUGAUCUACUACUACGGUUCAAUAAGAAACUUUUUUUUUUUUUUUGGCAAGUGUGCAAAAUAUGUAGAUAGUAAAUAAAGAGAGUGCCAUCUACUGACGUGUCCGGGGAGAAUAUAUGUGGCAUUGUCCGGAAAUGUGCAGAGUCAAUAAAGUUGUUGUUAUGUUCCAGAUGGCUUCCUGCCGGUGGAUGCAAGCCUGAGUCUGGGCUGGGCUUGUCUUUUCCCUGCAGCACCGCAAAGGGAUCAGUCAAGCUGUCUGAUGUAAUCUGGUUACAAGGACAAGUUUUUAGAAAUACCCAAAAGCCCAAGAUUGAUGUGCAAAAUCUCAGUGAGAGGGAGGUUUGUUGGUUGGCUUGUUGUGGUAUUUUUAGUUAUUUUUAAAUCAGGUUGGGAAGCAUCUAAACUGGUUGUUUUCUGAAGCUUUUUGGCCUGGUGUCACUGGAAACCUGGUACAACCUGUGUCUCGUCCUUAGGUCUUCUGCUGGAUAGGCUGUGGAGGAGCUGCGGAAAAAGUGGGAAGCUGAGUAAUUUCCCCCUUGGUGGUGGUUGUUUGUUUUUGUUGUUUUUUUUUUUCUCAGGAAAUUGUGUGUUGAAUUUUCAUUUUACUACAGAAAAGGGCUCUUAUCAGAAAAUAUCUAUCACUAUAAAUUGUUCCUUACUUUGACAAAGAGAAAUUAUCAGAGUUAUUUGCUUUCCUGGCUGUGGGGGCUAAUUAUUUAAGCAUUGAGUUUCUGAACUUGAGGAUGAAAGGAAUAUUUGACCUUUUAUUUUUACUUUUUUUGUCUUCCUAGCACUGUUUUCUGAACAUAAAGUGUGUAUGUGUAAAAGAGCACGGUAAAGAAAAAGGAAAUUUUAGAUUUCCCCUCCCUCUGAGAACAUCAGCUUACUGCUCAGGAAAGAUUAAAAAGACAAAUCAAAUGUUAGGAGAUACUAGGCUACGAAUGAAGAGCAAAACAAAGAACCUUAUUAUUCCGCUGUGUAAGUCUGUGGCGCAUCGUAUCGAGAAUGCUGCACACAGCUUUGUUCUCCCUGCUUCAAAAGGAAUGUUACACAAACUAGAGAAGGGUUGCAAAGUUGAUCAGGAGUUAAGGAGCUGCCACUGUGCUCAUGAGGGUCCUACAAACAAUGCAGAAGGGGCGAAACGGUUAUUCUCCACUACUCGCACUAGAAGAAUUGAGAGGCAACCAAAUUUAAAAAGACGUUACUGUGCGCAGAUGAAAUUGUGGAACUUGGUGCCAUGGUAUGAUCUGAGAGCCAAACUAAUGGGAUUCAUGAAGAAUUCAUGAAGAGUACUUCGGCUGUUAAAAGUUGCCACAGUUGCACCCUUUGACUUGGAAAGCCCUUUCCCUUCUAACUUAAGGCAACCAACACUGCAUGUCCAGGAUCACUUUAUUCUCAUCCCAUUUCUUCUAUUUUCCUCUAAUUACAGCCUACCGGACCUAGCAGGAAAUAGGUUAUUAAACCAGGUGGGCUUUUAGCCUAACCCAAAGCAGCAGGAGCCAGAAGAUGGGACCUUGCCUCUCACCCCGUGUUUGCUGUCAUGGCCUAUUUUCUGUCUGCUCUGUUUGUGGCCCAAAGAGCUGAAUAAUUUUUGCACAGGUGCCACUGGGUAUCGUUUGGGAUGACUGGUAGGCCCUGCUUAGGGUGUCCUUCAGGAAGGGAGGGAGGUAUGCCCAGAACAGGAUUCCUGACUCUGCUUUGUAACACAGGAACCUGAAAUAACGAGGGACUGUGGUGCCAGUCCUUCAGAUUUCCAAGCCAUUUAUUGGCUCUAUCCCUUAAAUUACAAACCAAAGGCGAUGUUCUUCAGUUCAUCUGUAAAUAUCUCUUGAGGCUACUUGUCAAGAGAAUUUCUUCCGGCUUUCCAAACUCAAGUGAACUAUUGUGAUUAUAAGAUAAUGUAACAUAAAAGUGCCACUAAUCAUGUGAACAUGUUUAUAUGUAAAUAAGCUACAUCGUUUCCAUUAGAUGUUUGAAGUGGAAAAUGAUGUACAAAAAUUGCAAACGUCUGCAGUUUAAACUCCUCUAGGUGUCCUCAGUUUCCACCCAGGUACCUGCCUACCUUUCAGAGAUGGUAUGCCAGCUCCCACAUUUCCAUAAAAGCUUUGGUUGUCAAAGCAAUUUUCCUUGUUUAUCAUUUUAACCAUGUAAUUUGCCUCACAUUGAAUGUCACCAUUCAUUGUGGGCCAUUGGCCCACGUCAACAAAUAACCUUCAAAGGAUUAAGUAACACUUUCCUUCUGUCUCCUUUGUUGCUUGCUUUCCUUCAGUAAUUUACCAUUGAGGUGAUGCCAGAGGACCCUGACGGAGGAACAAUAUGUAUGUGCCAUCUUCAAGUAUACAAAGGGAGGGGAAGAAAAUAAAAAAUAAAAAAAAAAGACAAAACCAGAGAAAGGUCUUUGUUCCAGUUGGUUGGCAAACUAGCUGUCAUACCAGCUUUCUUAAUCGAUUGCUGGCUACAUUCUGUAAUCUCUUUGCUUUCUGUAAUAUAAAAAUGCUUGUCACUAACCUUGUUAGUAGGGUUCCUCUGGUGGUCUGAACAUCCACAUUUAAUUUCUGGGAUCAUUCUUUUGAAAUUUUGUCCUGCUUGCAUGCAAGCUAGUGUCAGAAUGUCUGUUGAGGAUGGUUUCACUGAGGGAGGCUGUCUGGAAGGGUAUUAAUAUCCUGAUGCAGCUGAGUCUUGUGAGCUUGCACCUGGAUAUGGGAAUGUUGCACCGGUAUCUUUUCGGCUUUUUUGUUUGUUAAGUGACAGUGCAUGUCUAGUGUGAAGAAAUGUUCUUAAGCAAAGUUAAUUCCGUGUGAUUGAAAUCAUUUGCUUCAGAAUGGCAGUUGGAUUAGAAAUCUCAGUCCUUGCAGUGCUACGGUGCUACACCAGUACCCCAGGAGGUCACACUUUGGCAAACACAGAGCUCAUGCAUUUCUUUCAGUGAUAAUACUGUCAACUCCAAUUUACAGCAGACUGGUUUAAUGCAGAGCUUACCAAUAAUUUGUAGUGAUCAGAAGAUCAAUGAGAUUUAGUGUUCACAUUCUGAAUGAACAAGUAAGGGUUAGGUGGCCUCCUGGGGGCUCCUUUCUUGUCUUUGGGGGUGACAGCUUGGAGUCCUCAAAGUUGAAGCUGUAAUUCAUUGAUGUAAUUUUAAUUUUAGGAUGUAAAAACCCAAACACUUGUUUUUAAAGCCAGCAACUCAUGAAAGUUAAAUCAGGGCACUAUGUCAGUGAUGGAAUUUUAUCCCCUUGUUUUUUAGCCAUACAAAUGUAAGUAAAGCCUGGCUAAUGGGCUCUGACACAGCAGUGCAGUUGUGUAGCAAUCUUUCUUAAGGGCUUUCUUUCCCCCAUGGGGUGACCUCUUUCCUGGCUCAUUGAGAUAAAUUCUCCAAGAUUCUUGACCUGAUCUGAUAGAGGUGGAAACUGAACAGCAGUUUUAAAAUCAGUAGUCUCCAUGUGAGCAGUGAGUCUAGCACAUAUUGUGCCUUUAAAAAUGAAAUAAAUAAAUGCCCUCCCUGUACCCAAACCCAGCCAUUGCUUUAGCAUCUUUUGGCAUAGAGGCAUUUCACACAACCCAUUAAAUUAAAGGGAGAUUUUUUUCCCCUCCCCAUAUCGUAAUUCUUAUGUAUACAACAUUGAACUUGUCCAAAAAAAACUUACUCAAAGAAGCAAGACAUUAAGAAUAAAUUGCUGAGAGCUCCAGUGAGAAAUGUGUCAUGAAAUGAUGGAGGAAAAAGAGCCAGCAGCUUUAUCAGAAUGAGCCACAAGGAUAAGACAGGGGAAAACGUAUUUUAGCUCUCUUAAGAUCUAGAGUAUUUUUGUUUCUUUGUUUUUUGUUUUGGUUUUUUUAAUAAACCUGAAAUCCAUUCUCUUAUGUUGUCAUCUAUGGCAGCUCUCUCAGAAAUAAACAGAUCUGAGAUUGCACACUUGAUAUCAAGCCACUUCUGAUCUGGGGGUGGGGGCGUGGGGGAGGGGAGGGUACUAGAGAGAAAAUAAGAGUUUAUUUGACAAGAAAUGCAAACUACCUGUAAUAUUUGUUGCUAGCUGUAGUCCUGUAGAUCGGUCAGUUUAUAUAAAAUUCCGCCACUAAGUUACAAGAUCCAUCUGGAUUUUGGCAUAUUUGAAAUAUUUAUUAUGUUUAUCUUUCAUGCACAUCAAAUACAUGUAUAAUAAUGUACGUGUUUUUAAAAGAAACCAUACAUCAACUGCAGUUUGUGGCUUAAGAGUGAUAUAAAGGCAUUCUUAUCCUUGAACUUUUGUACUCAAGGGUAGUUAAGAAAGCCAAAACAACUUCACAGUUAAAAAUAGCAAAUUUCUAAGAUUUAGGGGUUUGUCAAGAAUUGACGGGUUAUUUUUGCCCCACACAAAUGACGCUAGGUACAGAAUAGUUAGAGUAAAUCUGGUAGGGUAUUGCUCAGAAUCCCGUAUCUCUUAAACACUAAUGAAUACAGGCUCUGGAUCUGUGGAUUUUAUUAAUAUUCCUGAACUGAGUCAUAAUAGGUAUGAGUUAUUUGAGGUGGCAUUGCAAUUUUUCCCUAGCUACUUAAUACCUGCUCUGGAAAAACCGUUCAGAUUCUGCUCUCACUGCUGGAGGAAGCUGGCAUGUUAAUCCACUUUGCUUACUUUGCUGUUCUUUAAAUUUAUUAUGUUGGGAAGGAUUUUUCAGCACCAUGGUCUCAAACUGCUAAAAGCGCAUCUCUGUGGGAGCUUUUAUCAUUGUUUCAUCUGUAUUGGAAGUGGUAGUAUAAAGGCGGCUUCUGCUUCCAUGUUGUAUGUUAAGAUUCAGAGAGCAAAUGGCCUGAGCAGGUGUCGUGGUUUAACCCCAGCUGCAGCUCAGCCCCACGCUGCCACUCACUCGCUCCCCCGCAGUGGGAUUGGGGGAGAGAAUUGCAGCAGUAAAAGGGAGAAAACUCUUGGGUUGAGAUAAAGGCAGUUUAAUAGGUAAAGCAAAAGCCACACACACAAGCAAAGCAAAGCAAGGAAUUAAUUCUCCACUUCCCACCGGCAGGCAGGUGUUCAGCCAUCCCCAGGGAAGCAGGGCUGCAUCAUGCAGAAUGGUGACUUGGGAAGACAAACACCAUCACUGCAAAUGUGCUCCCCCCCGCUUCUUCCCCCAGCUUUAUAUGCUGAGUGUGAUGUCAUAUGGUGUGGGAUAUCCCUUGGGUCAGUUGGGGUCAGGUGUCCCAGCUGUGUCGCCCAAUUUGUUGUGGCUACCUCAGCCCGCUGGCAGUGGGGUGAUGUAAGAAGCAGCAAAGUCCUUGGCUCUGUGCAAGCCUGCUCAGCAGUAACUUACGCAUCCCUGGGUUACCCACACUGUUUUCAGCGCAAAUCCAAAACACAGCCCCAUACCAGCUACUAUGAAGAAAAUUAACUUCAUCCCAGCCAAAACCAGCACAGCAGACCAGGAUUGUUUCAGGUAAUGUGGCCAGGUUACAUAGCUUGCCUAUUGAGGGCUCUCUGUGUUCAGUAUUUCUGAGUCUUUCCCUGUCCCUGCCAUUUGUUGUGCUGACUGUUUUCAAGUGCGUAACUGCUCCCAGUAGCCUGUAAUUGCAAGGUCAGUCUAAGGUGAAGCUGUGCCUUGUUUAGGGAAAGACAUGAACAGUCUGUUUAGGCCAUAUGUUGUUGCCUUGUCCUUUUCUUGAAACCUUUGGGUAGCUCAGCAUGUUAUGUGCAAUGAUUAGGAGCACCAAAAUCUCUCAAAGUAUACGAUUGGGGCCAGCUUAGCUUCGGGAUAAUUGGCGGCUUUGUGGACUCUGUGUUUUGGUCUUAGAUGGGCAUAGUAAGAAAGCUAUUCUGAUCUGAUAUUUCAUUUUGAGGGUCAACUACUUCAUAUUCCCUGAUUUUUCUUGCUAUCUUCUGCACUUUAUUGCAGAGAAUAAACCCCAGCAGGUAUUUAUUUUUCCCAUUUGUUUGCAAAAGCAGCAUUUUUCCCAUAUCCAUGGACAUGACUGCUCUGUGUCAGCCGGCAGCUAGUGUCUGUAGGAAAUGCUUUUUUUGAUUUUUUUUUUUAAGUAUUUGAGACUUUCUUUGCCAUGAAAGCAGAAAUGAGGAAAGGGUGAAACUAUGUAAGGAUGCUGCUUUGACAAGCCUUGCUUAUGGCCUUCUAUUGAUGUUCGGUCUAGAUGUUUGCUCUAGCUAUUAAUUUGGUUAGAAACACUUAAGGACAGAGAUCUAUUAUUUCCUUACUGAAAAAAAGCACGGGCUAAAGCUUUGUUUUAAAACAGAUUAUGGUUGCUAAGUAACAGUCUUCCCUAAGUUGAGUGUCUUCCUCAACAACUAAUCCCAAAGUCUUAAAAAGGGAGAAUUUAAAGACAUGAUAAAUCUUACUCUGUCCAUAUGAUUAACAGACAUUUUGAGUUAAACCUUGGUUCCGCUGUUGUUGGUGAGGAAAGCUUCCACUGGCUCAAUGAUGCGACUAUUUCCCUGCUGAUUGUCAUCCAGAAUAGAGAAGUUGUAGUAUAACAUACCUAUUAGGAAAAUUCUGUUCUUUUUAAUGAACUUUUACUAGAACUUUCCAUGUUUCCUCCAUCUUCUCUCAUCCAAAGUGGUUUUUUGUUUUGUUUUUGAGGCAGAUGAAGAAAUACUUAAAUACAGGAAUUAAAUUGGAUAUUACUGUUAAAUCAAAAGAAUGUUUCAGGCUCAGCUAAUGGUGGCUGCUUCCAUCAGUGCAUACGUUGUGUUCUCCAGUGAGUUAUGUUAGUUACAGGGGUGUAACACAGCUCUGCUUCCUCUUGCAAUGCUCACAAAAGGGCCAGAAAGCAGAUUUAGGUUUUAGGCUGAGGACUAGAAGCACAUCCUUCUCCUUCACAGCUGGUGCUUAAUACUGUAAGUCUUGGCACCUCUUGGCCAAGUCAAUAAAUCUCUUGCAGUGCAGAGAGACACAAGGUAACAACAUCUGAGUUAGUACCAGGAAUGGAAGUGGAAUAGGCAUGCCAGUGUGGCUCUGCACCUGAGCUACUGAGCUCUGCUGGAGGAGGUUUAUUGGAACCAGUGAAGCGCUGCUACUAACACAUUUGGACCAGGGUUACUUCACCUGUGUGAUGCUGUGCUGAACAAAGUAAGUAAAUGAGUGCUCUCAGGCACUUGCUUGGAUGUUUAAGCACUAUCCACCCACAUUUGUAGACGUGCCUUCCAGUAGUUUUAUUGGUGAACUUCUUGGUUGUGCCAUAUGGUUUCUAUCUAUUUCUUUCUCAUUUUGAAGGUCUCUAAGCUGUUGACAGCUUGCAGAAGUUGGUAGAUGUUACUGUAGUUGAAACUAAUUCUUUGUUUUUCCAGAAAAGUUUGGGGACGUGAUUGGACCUUGCAAACUGACUUAGGAGUCAAAUUUCUCGCUCAGAUAUGUAGGAAGCCAGUUUCUCAUAUCUUUCAACAUGGUUAAAUUUCUUCUUUGGUUUUCCAGUGUAAUCGUAAAAACAGUACUGAUGCUGGCAUGCACAAGAUGAUUGUUUUGUGUCUUUGCAAUUAACUAGACAAUGCAGCGAAGUAAUUUUAAGCAUGCCAUUUCCUAACCACUUGGUACUUCAGGCCUCUGGGCCUGGUGCACUGGGGGCUUUUUUGCCUUUGACACUGAGCUUUUGUGUUUGGCCUCUGUAUAUUGUCCAUCCUGCCAUCACUGUCAUGUGCUUUUAGAGGUGCUCCACUCUUUUGUGCUUGUGCUCAAACUGCUUUGAGCCCCUACCUCGGGCUGAAUCAUUGAACGGGAAGUCUGUGCAGAACUGUGUUCUCAGUUGAAGAGCUCCUGGCUCUUCUGCAAUUGCCAAAAAUACAGGAAUAGGUAACCUGUGUUCUAGUGGAAGGCUCCAAGUGGGAGAAUACCCCUCUACCCCCUCAAAAAAACAAAAAGGCACAGUACUCAGAAUAUCACCAGACUCAGGGAAAUGGGAAGCUGAUGCAACUGCAUUGUAAAACAGGGACUAUUAAGUUAUCUUCCUCUCCCUGCAGAUUUAAGUCAUUGAAGGUUGUUUUGACCUUGUCUGUCUAAAUGUAAUCUCCUUCAAGGCAGCUUGUUUUUUUAAAACGAGGCAAAAAACUGUAAAACCAGAUCCUCUCUGUCUUCUGCUCAGUAAAAGUAGUAAAUGAAGAAAAUCCCACCUGGUUUGUGCAACCUGUGUUGUUCCUUCACAGAGGCUUGGGGUUUUUUGGUGUGUGCUAGUAUCUAUUCAAAGCAUUUUCAUGCAUUGUGUCCAUUUAGCUGAGUGAUUCAGAUUGCUUGUAGCAGUAACCAGCUCCCUCAUUACUCACUGCUCCAUGAAUCUUUGUCAACUAAAGCCCUUACCUGCCAAAGAUUUUCUGUUCUCAUUCAUCAAAAAUAUCCUCAGAUCAUCAAUUAAAAAUAUCGAUGAGAAUUAGCCCCAAAAUUAUCUUUGAGGAACCUCACUAUGUAGUUGCCCAAUUCAUUAAUAUUUUCCAAGAUGCUUUAUUUUGAGACGUGCCAUUAAAGUAAUUCUUAAUACCUUUAGUAGAUGUUGCUACUUCUGUAUAUUGUCAUUUUUAAAACAGGAAGAUUUCAAAAUCAGGUUGUCACGUAAUACUAAGUAAUUAUUUUUUUAAAAAAUCCAAGUACUUUAUCAACAGAAAUGUUUUUAACAUCCAAACUCAUCUCCUGACAAAAAAGGUUAGCAAUUCAUUUGACAAGACCUAGCUACCAUGGGACUUGUUGACUGAAAUUGUUUCGGUUUUUUUUUUAUCUUCUACUUUGUUGAUAGACUCUCUGUUUGACUGAUCCAUUUAGAAAUCUUAGGAGCCGUAUCAGGUUACUUAGACUUUAAAUCCUUAUUAACACCACCUUCCCCAGCCCCACCCCCCUUUUAUUUUAUUACUUUUUAAAGAACUCCUAACUGUGGAACCAAAAUUACAUUUUUGUAAUCAUGUAGAAAUCAUCUGUUUUUUCAAGAGAUUUAUGAAUUAACAAAAUUUGGGAAAGUCCUGUAUCCUUUAAAAAAUAAUAAAUUUUACGGUUGUAAGUUUUCCUUUCUCAUUAUUUGUAUAUUUGUGGCUUUCAUCAGUCCUUUCAAAGCAAUUUUAAAAAUUAUUAUUUAACUAUCAUGUUCUUAGUCAUGUCUGAAACAUUGCCCCCUCUGAAGGAACUAGUGAUGCAUAUGUAAUUUGUCCCCAGUUUUCACUAAUACUUCUGUGAUAUUUCUGUGCUCCCAAAAUACAGUUAUGGUGAUAGUUGCUUAAAGUUUUUGGAAACUGUCCCGUUGUAUUCUUUAGCGUUUGCUGUACUGCAUGCUGCUUGAAGGAGGUAAAUGCAACAUAACAACUCUUUUUUCCAUUCAUCCAUUAACUCAGUUUUUAACUCUUGUCAGUGAAACUCAGUAUUGCAUUACCUCUGUUGGGUGCUAAGUAUGCUCACUCAACAAAUUAUUGCAUACUAUUUGAAAAAUUUAUAAAUAUAAAAUGUUUACCGGACUGACAUUCAAUAUAAGAACAUUCUUCACCCUCCUUGCUCAUAAUGGACAGCUAUUAAAGGAAAAAAUUGCCUGUUUUCUAGUAAUACUUGCUCUUUGGAAAGAGUGGGGUGGAUGACCUCCAGGAUCCCGUCUAUGGUUUUGUGAGUCAGUUUUCAAAUUCUACAUUAUCUGCUGGAAAGAUGAUGUAGACACAGUGAUGUACCAUGUCACUAGUAAACUUCCAUAUCAGUGUUUUUUCCAUAUUAGUAUUAUGAUCCUAUUCCACUGGGUUUCAGUUCAAUUUCCUUUACUUUGGGGUGUUUUUCCCUACGUAUGAAUAUCUUCAGUUCCUCUUGCCUAUUACUUAGGCAGAUGGUAUACCUUGAUGGGCUUUUUUUGGUAAAGUAUGUUCUUUGAAAGGUUCAGUGUGAUUUGAUUUAUGUUAUUUAUGUUGUUAUGAGACCAGCUUACAUAACAGACCAUUUGUGUUGUAAUUAUUCUAUUGAAUGAAAAAACCUUCCUGGCUACCUGGUCAUGUUCAUUACUUUGGAGAAUCGGAUUUUUAUAAAGAUGGGGCCAACUGAAGUGUACAAUUCCCUCUAUGAUGAUAGACUUUUCAGUGCUUCACAAUGAAAACCUACCCCUCAGUCGUCUGCCAACAUUUUAGCUCACUCACAGCUAGCCUUACAGAUUUAGCACAUUCCUUGUUCUUGAGGCAAAAGGGACAUUUGUGACGUAACUUUCCAGAUAUUCCCAUCCUUCAACAGCCUAAGGUCUUCCAGGAUCAGUGGAAUGCAGGUUGGUAAGGUGUCAAAGGUAACCAGAGGUUACUGCCAGAGGAAUCGCUCUGUAUCAUCUUUACUCUUUCGCUUCUGGAAGGAAGAAAAUAGUCCUGCUUGUAAAAUGUCCUGAUCAUUCAGAUGCUCUGUGCACACUUUUUCCACAGUCAUAGAAUAGAAUCACAGAAUCAUUUAGGUUGGAAAAGACCUUUAAGAUCGAGUCCAGCCACAAGCCUAACAAUGCCAAUUCGACCACUAAACCCUGUCCCUACAGGUGCCGCAUCUACAUGUAUUUUUUUAAAUAUCUCCAGGGAUGGUGACUCAACCACUUCCCUGGGCAGCCUGUUGCAAUGCUUGACAACCCUUUUGGUGAGCAGGUUUUCAUAACCUUGUGGUAAGUCUGUGUGUUUUGAGUUGGGUGAUAGUUCAAUUCUUUCCUCCAGCUCCUUUUUCCUUCUCUUCAGAUGGCUCAUUCAGCAUAUUGAUGUACCUUAGGUGCAUCUGUGAAGAUACAGAAUACACUUUCAGUCAGCUUGCAAAUUGACAUUGCAACUGGGUACAUUAGUGAAAUACAUAACUUCAAGAUGCCUGGUCACAGAAUGACAGAAUGGUCGGGGUUGCAAGGCACCUCUGGAGAUCAUCUAGUCCAACUCCCUGCUAAAGCAGGGUCACCUAGAGCAGGUUGCAUAGUUGUGCCCAGGCAGGUUUUGAAUGCCUCCAGAGAAGGAGACCCCACAGCCUCUUUGGGCAGCCUGUGCCAGGGCUCUGCCAUCCUCAAAGGAAAGAGGUGCUUCCUCACGUUCAGAUGGAACUCCCUGUGUUGCAGUUUGUGCCCAUUGCCCCUUGUCCUGUCGCUGGGCACCACUGAAAAGAGCCCAGCCCCAUCCUCUUGACACUCAUCCUUAAGGUAUCUGUAGGCAUUGAUAAGAUCUCCUCUCAGUCUUCUCUUCAGGCUAAACAGUGUCAGCUUUCUCAGCCUUCCUUCACAAGGGAGAUGCUCCAGUCCCCUCCAUCAUCUUUGUAGCCCUCUGCUGGGCCGUCUUCAGUAGUUCCCAGUCUCUUGAACUGGGGAGCCCAGCACUGGACACAGCACCCCAGAUGCGGCCUCACCAGGGCAGAGCAGAGGGGCAGGAUCACCUCCCUCCACCUGCUGGCCAUGAUCCUCCUGAUGCACCCCAGGGUCCCACUGGCCUUGGCCACCAGGGCACACUGCUGGCCCAUGGGCACCUUGCUGCCCACCAGCACUCCCAAGUCCUUCCCCGCAGAGCUGCCUCCCAGCAGGCCAGCCCCAGCCUGUACUGGUGCGGGGGGUUAUUCCUGCCCAGGGGCAGGACCCUCCACUUGGCUUUGCUGAACUCCAUGAGGUCCCUCUCCGCCCAGAUCUCUAGUCUUUGGCAGACUACAAUUGCAAUGCUGUCUACCUGUUUACAUUGUCACUGACAAUGUAAAUCUUAGAACAGCUUGACCAAUUUUAAAAAUGAUGGAAGUAAUAAAUACCUUCAUUAUUUUUUCCAAACUCAUUUCUCACAAAGGAAUAAGUUGUCCUUAGAAGUAAAAUUGCACUUAUUUCUGCAUGGUUUCCAGAAUUACUCUGAGAACAUAUAAUUUUAUAACGUUAACAAGAAGAUAAAAACUUUAUAAGAAAUAAAUAGUCCAUCAGAUAUCACUUAUAUUGUGUUCUGUUACCUUAGACUUGCUAUCUAGAUGGCUGGUGAGUUUAAAACAAACUGCAAAGUAAUUUCAGUACGGGGUUUCCCAUUAUUUUCUCAGAUUUGUGCUUUCCUUUCUUUUCUACUGUCACCUUUAAAAAUCCACUUUUUAUAUUUUGAUGAAAGGCAGAAAGGUGAUUGUUUUUAUUUGAAAAGAACAAGUGCAACAUGAAUCUCUCUUCUCGUGACAUGCUUAUUUGUGAUCUACUGUAAUAAUUUACAGAGGUGCUAAUGAGAACCUGUACUCAUGGACAUAAAACUGGCUGACCAGGAAUCCCUGGUCACGUGAGAGAAGAACUUUCUUCUGUUUGAUUUAAGUGCAAUGUUGAAAUGAAACAUUAGUACAUAGAGGUUUGAGGGUAUUGUGUUGUAGAGAUCAAGUUAUUGUGGUAUUAUGGUAAUGAUAAAACAUUUUCAUAGGUUAUCAAACUUAUAAAGAAAAGGAUUGAUUAAAUUAGGAAGCCUGUCCUGAAAAUUAAGGCUAUUUGGAGUAUUCAUAACAGAGUCCUGAAAAUAUCAAGUGCCUUAUUAAGAAGAAGUUCUGUUGCUAGGAGACUGUAACCACAGUGUCAGGAUAACAUCUUUUUUAUUUCCUGUAAGAAAUUCUGGUUAAUGCAUCUAGUUAGAUAAUGAGCAAGGAUGGCUAUGUGAUGUAAAAAAUUGGGUGAAAUGCUUAAUUUGUGAGAUGGGAAGCCAGUAAAAAGUGCAGGUCUUUAAAGUGUAGCUUAGUGUAGUGUGCCACAAGAACAAAUUUGAAGCUUGGCUAGAAGCAGGUAGACACCCUGCUCCAGAGUACUUGGAUGAAGCAAUCCCAGUUCAUACAUCAAGUAAGAAUAAAAAAAUAUAAUAAAACAGCUUUAAAAAAUGAAGUGCUUAUACAGCUGUUUAAUCUUGCUGAUACAGAAUCAAGUUUGGCAUGGGAAAGAAUGUCACAGGUUCAUAAUGCCAUGUAAUAAAAUAAACUAUCUAGAAGCAAAGUUUCUAAAAGCAUCAGGAGUUUGGAGAGGCAAGGAGGAUCUGUGUCACCAGGAGUAAUGCAGUACUGUGUUCUAGGAGGUGCUAGGAAAGCUUUGGGAGGAUCCCAGCUAAAAAAAAAUAUCAAAAUAGCAGAUUCUUUGUAGAAACAAUUUCAUGACUGAUAUCCACUAGAUGCUUUAAGUAGAGAAAUUCUGAAAUAAGUAUCUGAAUAUAUGGGUUGAAAGAAUUUGAUCUGGAAAGCAUGAUCCACGUUGCUAAUGUGUGGUUAUGAAAGCGUGGCAGAGGGGCCUGUGUAGUUGGACUCCAAACAAGGUACAUCAUAAAGCUCACACCAAGCUUAGAUUGGGUACAUGUUCUGCACGCUGGUCUAGUUUUCCCCAUUUUUCAACCUAUAGGGACUCCUUAAAAGCUAUGCUGACCACUGUCAGCUGGACUCCAGGCAGGUACAGAAGGCUUGUGCCUCUGACUCCACUCCCCCAGCUCCCCUUGGUAUUGGUGCUUUGAGCUGGUAAGUGUAUAGGCUUUAGUAUAUAGGUUGUAUAUGCAUGAAGAGCUAUUUUUUCAACAGCAGCAUCCUGUCAUUCUGCUAAACAUCUUUUCUACAUAUUCUUUGAAUGGAAGCAGCCUGCAAGCUGGAUGUAGCCCCUAGGCUGCUGUUUCAGGCGCACUGAACUGCUCUUUACUCGUUCUUUGUUUCUUUCAAACUUUACUUUGAUUAAAAUGAAACAUUUAAAAAUGUGAAUCCGCAUUUUAAGAAACAUGGCCUUGCUAAGUCAUUAGUUUAAUAAUUGAACUAGUACUGAUUUCAUAUUGUACCAAAACUUCCCAGGACAUCUGUGACAAAUCGUGCUUGAUUGCGAUCGGUGGCUGACACAAUGGCUUCUUCCCUUGCAGACAAGGGAAUGUGGGUGAACAGCAUAAAAAUGCUUUCAGAUAUUUACUUGCAUUCAAAGUUUGUAUGUGUGUCAUCCCCCGUCCCCCACACCUACUUUCACCGCCCUUUUGUGAAAAGCUUUGCUGGCAGAAUUUUUCAUAGAAUCAGUAAUGUUAAAUACAUGUAAGUAUUUGUAGAAAUCAGGUUUUAAUCUCUUUCAAAUGUAGAAUUAUCCUAUUAUGUUUAAUCAUCCAGGCAACAGAAGCAAACAAAAAAAAAAAAAAAACCCCACCAAAAAAAACCACCAAAAAAACCCAACAACCACCCACCCACCCCGAUAUUUGCAGCCUAUGAAAAGUAAUAGAAGUGCAGAUUUUAAAUGUAAACAAGUUUUUUCAAUUUGCUUAGGAUGGGUCUGUAAGGUGCCCAGAUCUGAUUUACAGAAAUUUCUCAGUGAAUGAUGAAUAUGUUUGUGCUUUAUAUGAGAACAUAAAAAUUUUUAGGUGCUCCUGGUUAACUGGGGGGGGGGGGGGGGGGGGGGGGGAGGGAUGGGGAAGCAACAAAAUAAAAAGCUUAAUUAAUUUGAAUAAUUUAUUCCUCUAUAAAGUCAGCCAUUCGGCUUCAAAUUUCCAUCCUACUCCCCAGAGGCUACAGCCCAAAUUAAGGAGUAGCCAGAGGGGGACACACAUUUUGCACACGAUCACAACAUAUCUAGAAAUAGACUUGAGAGAAAUUCUAGUUUGACUGGAUCCCGCCUGAGGGCUGCACUGAGCAUGUCCUGCACUUGCUCUCCGGACACUGCUAGUAGCAAAAAACCUAAGGAACUCGCCUGUUGUAAAACUGGCCUUUGGAAACCUUUCUUACGAUUUCAGUAUGUUUCAGAUGGUGCCUCAGAAUGGAUUCUUGCCCAAAAAAUAUUUAUUUAUUUUAUUUAUUUUUUUUUAGAAAAACUAGUUUUUAGCCUAAGUAAAUUAAUCUCUAGAGCUGUUGCUAGGUCCAGCAGUAGCAGAUAACUGUAACAGAUAAGAAAAGUGCCCUUCAGUUUUAUACGUGUUCUUAGAGAAGCUCUUGUCCAUCUAGAAGCCAAUCACAGAUUUCCCAGUCCUUCAUAAAGUUCAUAGAUGUAUAUAGUUCGUACUGAAACAGGGAAAUUACUGCUUGCAAAUUCCGAUGUUUUCUUACAUAGGUUUGAAAUCGUGCCACAAUACUAUUGCCUUGGCCUGUUCCCAUUAAGGGUUACCUCCUGUACGGGUAUCUGUGCCUUUUCAGUCCUCUCUACAAAGAAUACAUAGCAGCUUCCUGAGCAGAGCAGGAAAAAACAGGUAGUGGUUUGCCAUCUGUGUCUGCUUUUCUGCCAGUCCUCUGUUCAUGUGCUUGCUUCUCUGCUUUUCAAGCACUGCCUUGUUAAUCUCCAUGAUUUCUUCUUCUGUGCUCAAACCGCGGUAGUGUAAGGAAUGCUUCUGGCUCUCCAUUUGCAGACUGUUUGCAUGGUCACGUAGCAUAGCUUCUGCUCAGACUUUGCCAUGCCUGUUGGUACCUGAAGCCGUCAGUUCAGAUCCACGUUCCUCUCCAGAUUCUCACAAAACCAAAUGGGAAGAUUUGUUCUUUCCGUUGUUUCAGAUAUCAUUAAAUAUGAGGGAGUGUAGUUACUUUGCUGGUGCUCCUGCCGACUGAAUUCAGGGUGGUUAGGGGUGUUUCAGAAGUGUCCAUCCAUCAUUAGCUAUUCCAGGACAAGUAUGGAGUGGGAGGAUCUAUGUUCUCUAACACGUAUAUGGGUCUUUCAAGCAGUAUUAAGACUACAUUGUACUGAAAGAACAGUUAUGCUUGCAAAUAAUUUAAGUCAGGUUUGGGAAGUAAAUAAUUUGAUGAAUCAAACAAUGUAUUUUUAUUUCACUAGGGUUUUUUAAAAACGUGUAUGUUGGCUGUGGUCUUCACCAAAAACCUAGGUACUUAAUACGGGAGCCAAGGAUUGAUGAAUUAGAAGACCAGAAGACACUAUAUCUAAGUGGAAUAGAUAAACAAUGAAAAUGGAUUUUGAAAAUAAACUAUUAACUGAAAAAGCAGGUGUAUAGGUGUUGAAAAACAGCUUUAUUGUAAAUUAACAAUUUUUAUUUAUUUUUUGUAUUUAUGUUGCUUUAUCUAGAUGAAUAGUUGUGAAAAAUAAAAAAUAAUGACCUAAAUGUGUUGUCUUAUGUUUCUCUUUUCUGCUGAGGUCAAACUCAUUUUGUAGCGUGGUGCCUGUUUUUUCAUAGUGCCACUGCCAAACGUCAUUGAAAUUACAAAUACAGAACUAAAUUAAAAGGACAUAUUUAAGAUUGGAAAGUCAGCAUAAAUUGUAAUUAAGUCUGUUUGUGCACUUUUACCUCAGUUUCUGGGUGUACAUGCAUCCUGAUAAGAGUGUUUCAUUGCAUAGUUAUGGCCAUUUUUUUUCAGAGGGCACUUUCCCAGUUAGUGAGCACCAACCAGUCCAGCACGUGUGUAAAGCAGCUAUUCAAAACUGCUCUUCCUCCCUAUUAUAUGUUCGGGCCUCACUCAUUGCUGACUAGCCAAAUCUUGUUAUGGAGAGAGAAUUAUUAAUUUCAUUGGGUCUCUUCAGUGGUGUUUGUCACUGCUGUAUUUCAUGUGUCUUUCAAAUAAGAAUGAAUGUAUUUCACAUGUGAGUGGUUGGUACUGUUAUCUCCCUAUAAAGGGGAACAGAGAUAAACUGUUGUCACUAUAGUUUGCUAAUUUUGAACAUCCAAUCUGAGGUAUCUACAACUUGGUAUUUGAGUCAACUACAAUACUGCUAAAGCCCACUGACUUCUGAGCAGCUCUUCCUUUGGACAGCUUCUCUGUGUGUCUGGGGUCAGCAAUGAGGACAUGGAGAGGCAAGGUUCGUCGCUGCCUGACCUGGACUUGAAAUGUCUGAUACUGGCCCAGAACCACAGUUACUGCAGAAACCUAAAUCCAAAAUGGGUUCUUGAUAUUCUGAGCCUUGAAUUCUCUCCUGAAAAUGUAGGUAGUGUAUACACUUUUUGAAGGUGACAGAUACCCUCUUUCAAACAGGGGGAGAAUAGUUGCGUCUCCUUUUCUAUCUAGUAUGCUGUCGCUUACAACUCCCACCUCAACUGAGACAUGAGCUCCUAUUUUUCUUCUUCCUGAGGGUUUGCAAACCUGUCUGAUAUCUCAGGGAUUAUCCCUACCCUAUCAGCAGAUUCUGUUGAAGAUAAAACAUCUUAACUGACUCCUGUUAAAAUGGUUAUGUUUCAUGGAUAAGUGGUUUUGAUUAUUAUUUUAUUUUUAAACUGGAUUAGAGGGUAGAAGAGAAGAAAAACUAAGUUAAGCAAGUACUUAAUCAGAAGGAAGGAAAAAAAAUUUGUACUGGUAUUUGUCAGUUACAGUUUCUGUGGAACUUCCAUUGACAUUAUAGAUGUAAACCUUUUGAAGUUCAAUCAGGACAAAUGCAACACCCUGUACCUGGAAAGCAAGAACCCCUUGUAACAACACAGGCUGGGGAUUUGCUCUGGUGAAGAGACGUGAGGGUCUUGGAGGAUCUCAAGCUGAACAAGCUUGGAUGAAAGCAUAGUUGCAAGACUGAUUCCCUUGGUGUUGCUGGACCAUUGAAAGUUUAGCACACUUGUAUAUACAGCAGCAGUAAAAGAAACAUGCAAAGAAAGUCCUAGCUGAUGACCAUGUUUUUAAAACAUGGCCUAGAAGCUUUGAGUAAAGCCUUCUGCAGCUUUUGUGACUGUAAACUUAAGCCUGGGCUGAAUUGUCAAAAGAACAGAUUCCCAUGGGAUAGUCAAUAAAUUUGAUCACAUUUUUCUAUAUAUCACAUCUGUGAGCCUCCCUGUUAAAGGAGAAAAAGCCAAACAAACUAGUUUUCAGACUGCCGAACUCUUAAAAUGCGUGAAUCAGAAGAAUAUCAGCAAAAUAUUUCAAAGUAAGAAUUAAUUUCUAGGGUUUUGUGUAGUUUAAUCCAGUAUCUGGUUAUCAUGUCCUGAUAAAUAGUAGUGGAGUAUUUAAUUUCUCUAGCCUCACGCAAUCGUAUUGGCUUUAUUCUUUGAAAGGAUACUUCAGAAGACAUAGCUCCUGAAAAAAAGUAAGGUUUACUCUACAGGGUUUACUGGUCUGGGUAUAAUGUGAUGCUGGCAGUUAGCCUGACAGUUUCUGUAGUUACACUGGUUUGCGUCCAGCCAGGUAGGUACAUGUAGAAGGGUUGCUUCUACCAGUCUGCUAUCUGCAGGUUGCCGUAUCUGACAAAGAAUAAGCUGUGAUUGUAAUGUAUGUGGCAUGGGAGGUCUUGAAAUAAGCUUUUGAUGAUUGGCAGCAGAGGCUGAGUGGCUCUAGCAUAGAGAACUGAAGUGUCUUUCUGAAUUGGGUUCACCUUUAUUUCAGACAAACCAGAAGGGUAAUCAUUUCAUUAUUUCAUAGUAGUGUUAUCAAGAUCUAGAGAAUACUGUUCGUUUGCAUUUGGAAGAGAGUCCAAGUGACUGCUGUGCAUCAGUAAACUUUGGAGUGCUCUAGUAAUUCGUCAUGCUCGACAGGAAGAAAACCAAACUGAAGGAAGUGCGUGUAUAGUGCUUUUAGCAGAGUUCUGGAUUUAGCUGAACUUUACUAUUCAGUUCACUGGCUCGCGUGACAUUAAGAAGACAAGAAAGGUCAGUCAAAUGGCAACAUCAAAAAGGUUCUUAAAUUCCAGGGAUGGCUCUUGACUUUGGCCAGGCUGGGGAAUCUUUAGCUAAUCAUCACGGUAUACCAGUAGGCAAGCACUUUACCUUAGUUAUAAAACAAUGUUCUUUUGAUUUUCAAAUAAUAUGCAGUGGCAUAGCAACAUUCCUGAAUUCCCACCACAAUCAAACAGAAAACAGAUUUUGUAAAUAUGUUACUUAAAAAUUUUAACAGAUUCUAAAAGGCAGAGCCUUUGAUUUGUGUAAAGCUGUUUAUGGUGCUGUUUAAGAUUUGACCUCUACCUUGAUGCUAUUUUAAGUAGGAAUAUAAUUAAUAUUUCUUCCUGGGACUAGGGCCAGCAGGUCAAUAGUUGCUCAGGAAAGGAAAGAUGUUAUACCUAUGUCAAGUAGGAGCUCUACUUUUUGAAGUUCUGCUUAUACCAAGUGGGGUUUCGGUUUGAUAGAUAUGGAGUGGUGAUCAAAACCUUGAAAGUGCAGUAAUGAAGGACUUUUGGAAUUACUUACAUUUGACUUACGAGUUUGGGUUUUUUUAUCUCAGUAGACCUCCUGCAUAGACUCGUAGCCAGUUUGGCAUGCAUUUAUUCGCUAUACCCAACUCUUCUUCACAUGAGCGGUGUUGAAAAUUGUAGUAAGGCUGGCAAGUUUCCAGAGUUAGCAAACCGUUGCAGAAGCACCUUCACUCUUUGAAGAGCAAACAGUAAAGAAUAAAUGAGUCUUUCUCAAAUGUCCACAGAUGGAAAUUAGCCCUGAUCAUUUAUGGAUGGAUGUUAGCAGAAUAGUGGCAUAAAUUAAAAAUACCAAUAAAAUACUAUUCAAGUGAUUUAAUCGAAGGCUUCAAGGCCAGCUAGUUCAAGAAAGAAAAUGAAAAUGAGUAAUUCCAGAGAUGACUGCUGAUUUAACCUGUUGCAAUUAAUACACUUCAGUGCCCUUGAUAUGCCUCCACUUGAUGAAUGCAAUGGUAAUGACUACUGAAUCCAUCAAAAAUAAACAUAUUCAUUGUGGCUGACUUUUGAAUUUAGAACAACCAGGACAGAAAGUUAAGCUAUUGGGCUAAUUCGAGGCACAUCAUCACUGCAGUAGAUAGUAUUUUCAUUUUUUUGCGUAAUGUAUGCCUUUACACACUUAGCGAGAGGGAGCUGGAGUGAAUGGGCAUGACCUACAGGGGUGGUGAAAACCAUUGCUUAACGGAGAGGUUUUCUUAAGUUCCUAAGAGAUAUUUAUGCAUCAGUUCAGUUUUCAGGCUAAACACUUUUUGCAACUGUGAGUGUGUGUGACCACUGAGAUAAACUUUCCUGUACAUGAAUACAGAUUGAUAGUUUCUAGAUAGUGCACCAUGAGCAUUACAUUUGUUACUGCAAGAUAAAAGGCCAAGUUACUCCUUGGAACUACUUUUUUGAUUCUGUGAAACAGCAGUUCCCUCUGCAUUGUAGCAAUUCAAACAGCUGAAUGGGCAGAUCCUGACAAGACUACUUGGUGCCCUUUAAAGAUUUUGUGUGAGCACUAGGCUUAAUUUUUGUUAUGCGGUAGACUAAUAGGUUUCAAUGCCUGUAGAAUCCCUGUGAAUAGAUGCAAACCACAUCUUAAAGCUAAUAUCCUAGAACUCCAAAUACUGAAUCAAUAGCAGUUUUGCUGCUGACAUCAACUGCAGUAUAAAUACAUAAUGAUAAUAGCAGUAUUAAAUCAACUGUUUUAAUGAAAAUUAUAAAAAUCUGAAAGAAAGCUAGAUAGAGAAUAGAAUAUUUCAGUUGGAAGGGACCUACAACCAUCAUCGAAUUCAACUGUCCAACCACUUCAGGGCUGACCAAAAGUUAAAUCAUGUCAUUAAGGCAUUGUCCAAAUGCCUCUUUAAACACCGACAGGCUUGGGGCAUCGACCACCUCUCUGUGAUCAAUAUGCAAUUCAGAAUCCAUAAGAAUCUCUUACAGCUAACUGCACCAAAGUAUUGCACCUUCAUCACAUGGUUCCGUUUUCUAAGGAAAGGCUCUGUAAGACACAACUCAGUGUUUAUAGCAUAGUUACUGGUUUUUAUUUGAUGUGAAACAUACAGAGUUAUUUGGGGGGGGGGGGGGCGGGGAGAACCCCCUUUUUGUCUAUGUCAUUCCAACCAUCUUAAUUUUAAGUUAUAACGGGCAAAUUCCCAACUUUCUGGUAUUCUCUGUUAGAAGCCAAUCCCAAGCCUGUCAUCGUGAUGGUAAGGAGCAGAGUCUUUGGAGAGGCAGCAUCUCAUUUGCAGUGAAUUCCUGGAUGGCUUCUCUUAAAUUGGCUCUUCCCCAGGAGUAGCUUAAAUGUGGUUAUUCAUUUAAAUAGUUUACUACUGGGAAAACAAAGCUCUAUAAAGUACAAGAUCUCAUUUGCAAAGGGGGUCCUGGGGACUGAAAGUGGAUAUACACGUGCCAUGUGUUGCAGCCUCCAUCUUCUGCUUUUCCUGCUGUUAGGAAAUAAUUUGAAAAUUACCUAAAAUAGGAACAAUAUACUCAAUGGCUGAACAAAAGGCACAAAUCUGUCUCCACAGCAGAGCCGGGAGUGGUAGCCUUCAGCAGUAGUUCCUGUAGUCCACAGGAAAAAAAAAACAACAAACAAGGGGUUAUUGGGAGGAACAGCACAGCUUCCUCCCAGGGGGGAUAUCACAGACCCAAGGGAGGGCUUGGCUGUGGCCAUGGCUGCACUAGCAAAAGGGACAUGCCUAGGACCGUUCUUUGGUCAUGAGAGUAUCUGGCACGUAGCAGCUGAUGUCCAUACUGAUUUGAUUAAAAAAAAAAAAAAAAAAAAAGAACAGCUCUCUGCUCUCUUGUGCUCUGAAACAGAGAGGGUGCUCAAAAGUGUCUUUGGAAAUUAUUUCUGGCCAAUGCCAUCUUGGGUCAUGUCUGUGCCCAAAGUAUGUCAAGGAUUGGUUUGACAACAACACAAGUUACUGACUCCCAGUGCAGCCUCUCUUUUCAGAGAUCCCUUGGAACUGUAUAAUAAAAAGAGGCUUGUUUUUUCCCGUCUGAUUUAGGGACAGAAUAAACUAAAUCCUUAUUUCAUUCAUGCUUAUUAAAAGAGCCCAAACCAUGAGUGAUACAAGCUCUAGGGAAACAGUGCUUCUUUCAUGCACAGAAAAUUUCUUUGCUUCGAAUAGUUUCUUGGAUGACAGUAUGGAGACUAUCUUUCAGGAAACACAUUUUAAAACCAUCAACAAGCACAAUGAAUUGCCCUGAAAAUAAUGACCAUCUUACUAAUGACACAUCAGCACUGGCCCUUUUUAUCUGUUGCUUCCUUGAAACAUCAGAGAAUGUUUUAAACACUACCAGAAAGUCCCAUAAUGUGAUGAUAUUUGUUUGAGCAGAACCCAGUAUUAUCUGUAAUUCUAGUUUUAUUGUCCAACAGAAUAAAAAAAAGUCUCAGAAAUAAUUACCUACCUUGUUUUUGUUCGGUCUUGUUAGAUUUUACCCAAUGCUCCGUUCAGACCCUUGUGCAGUCUGUGUUUGGCUGAACCCUUUCUGGAGAGUCUGAAAGACUUCAGAGACACUUUGAAAGUGUGUACACAACUACAGACUGUAGGGGGGAGAAAAGGGAGACCUUUAGAUGUGAUUUUGAUUCUCUUCUGUACUGUAAUGUCUAUGAUUGGAAACUGGCUUAAACAGUUAGUGGUUCGUGCUCUUCUUAGCAUACUAUUAGCAUUGAAAUUUAGUGUCAUGUAGGAGAUCUCUGCGCCAUUAUACAUAAAUGAAGAAGACAAGACUUCUUUUCAGGUAAACUAUGUAACUUCAAAAUAUGCAUGUUUCUCCUAUAUUUUCUUCAGUUUCCCUACGAUCUAUUUGAUCUUAAACACAGAAACUAGCUACAGUCCCCAAAGGAAGGAAUCAAAUGUAAGAAUACAGAUACCACUUCCAAAUUCUAUGACAAACAGUGAUUUGGGUUUUCUAAAUGGAAACACAUUUGUAUUAACAACAAGAUUUUUAUUUUUAAGGGGUAACUAGGAGAAGUGAGCUGAAGUUUCAUACACUUUAUAAAACCAGCAUUUUGUCAUGUUGAUGUUUGUCAUAUCCCUUGAAGAAUGUUUUCUAUUAGUGUCAUGUACAAUUAUGUCUGUUUGAUUAUUAAUGGUUUCAUAAAAAUACAUUUUUUUACCCAUUUUCUGUUUCAUUGUUCGUUCUGUCUGGGAAGGAGAUUUCUUUCUAAAAAGACAAAGAGCCCAGUUGCCUGAAUGUAAUUGUAUUCUCGGUUUACUUUAAGCAGAGAUUUUAGUUGAUCUAAAGUGAAAAAUGUUGUUUUUAUGCUGUAAGCCAAGUGAACAGAAGCUGUGCUUUCCCAUUUUCCCCCUGACUUUAUUACCUAAUUGUUAUUCCUUAUUACAAGGUGUUCGCCAUUAUUUUAUUUAUUUAUUUUGCAGCAGGCUCCUUUUCUUUUACACUUGUUCUAACUGGUAGUAAACCCUUAAUGCCACAGUGACCAAUGGUAAAUCACUGUGUCUGACACUAGGAGACAAAAGAAGCAGGAGGGAUCUGUGAAAAAUGCCUGCAAGAAGCGAAGCACAGUGUGGAUGAAGAUGAUUCACGUCUCUGCAGUGAAUCUUCAGUAAAAGGUAGCAGAGCAGAACCAAAGACCAUUUUCACUCGUCUUGAAUUCAUUUCACCUGAUCUCAAAAGUAUUUCCCUGCUACCCACCAGAGCUUUGAAACAAGCUGCAUGUCUGAGUACUGCUGCUUUUCUUUUUUUUUUUUUUUAAUUCCCAAAAAAGUGGUAGUAAAAAAGGCAGCUAACAGAGGGAGAAGCCGCAAGCAAGUAAUGCAGAGAAGAAACCCAUUUGGCCAUCUGUCCAUCCAUCCCAUGCAACAUUCACAGAUUUUUGUGCAAUCUGAUUUAGAAUAAAAAGUUUUUCAAAAUCAUGUAAUGAUCUUAGAUUCUCGAGUCACUUAAAUGCUUUUGAAAAUGUUGAUAGACUUUGAUGCAUCCGUAUUUAAACAAAGGAAUGUUUAAAAGCUGCUGAUAAGUUUUUAUCUAUUUUUAUGGCUAUUUCAGUUGCUUCCUUGAAAAGUGAGCAUUUUUUUCUUUUAUGUAAGUAUUUUAAUGACUGUGAUUUAGUAAUUUAGGGUUAUCUUAUUCCUGUUCAAGUCUAUGUAAAUCUGCUGGUUGCUUUUAAUGGAGUAGAAUCGGACCUGUUGCCCUUCAUCCUGCAAAGCUAUAGGCACAUGCUUAUGUGAGUCGCUCAAAGUAAAUGCAAGCUUGCACAGACACAACGACAUUGGGCUGGGAGUGACCUCAUGGAUCUCUGUGUUCCCUUCUAGCACAGACAACCACAACCAUCUUACAAGCUGAUUUUCCUUGGGUUUAAACCAGUGAUAGGUCUUGCCCUGUUAAUAUUGCUGAAAAGAUGCUCUCUAUUUUCCUGACUUCCUGGUUGAAACCUUUUCUGGCAUUCCAGCUUGUGUCUGCAAAAGAGACAUGGGAUCAGGCUCUGAGCGUUUUCUGGUUAACUUCAGCUGAAGGUGGAAAAAAUAAACAAUGAUUUUGCCACUGUUGAGGUAUUGAACCUGGAUUCCUCACACGUGGAAAUUUAAAUUUAAUUUCACUGGGGAGCAGAUUACCCUGUUAAAUUCUUUGGGGAGGUGCCUGCAUUUUUCCUAGCUGCUAAAGCUUCAUACAUGUUGCCUAGGGUUUCACAGCUGAGACGUUCCAGAGUUCAUCACCCAGGCCCCCUCUUUUCUUAUGGCAACUGUUUGCUGCUGCUCACGUUUGUGACUGGAUUUUGGAUCCUUCUGAAAAAAUGAAUUUUUCUAAAACUGACCGUAUAGAAGUAAUGCCAUUGAUACUUGUGUGCUACCAUGCUAUGUAAAUUUUAUUACAUGAUUUAGGCUCAUUGUGCUGUUGAAAGAUUAAAAGGGAACUGCUAAGGCCAGUGGGUCUGAAUCUUUGCUACAGAAGCAGUAAUUUACUACCCAGAAAGUGAUAGACAAUUUGGGCUGGCAAUUGUAAUGCCACAGGAAAGUAAAGAAUAGCCCAUUUCCUUUUAUACAAACAGGACAUAAUAUUUUUAUGCUAAGUACUCUGCUUUGCAGACCCAGACAAGAGCCCCUAUGCUUGCAUCUUAAAAGAAUAAGCGCACCAAUAUAAUAUAUGUUACAUUCGUCGAUGCUAUAUAUUGUAAGGUUUUUACUGGAGAAGUGCUUUUGCCUUGCCUUAGUUAGACAAAUAUGGCAUCAACCUUUUUAUUUUGCUACCAUCACUGAUGUUGCAGGUCCUAAUAGCUAGAGGUAGAUUUCUCUACAUGUCAGGGUAAUUGCAGAGAAUAUAGCACAGAGCCAGCCCUGUCUCAGAUCUGCAACUACAGCUCAGGGUGCGAGACAAAGGAGAGAGAGAAAACGUGUGUGUGUGUGAGCACGUGUAGGCAGUUUUAACAGAAGGGAAUUGGCUGGCUCAGAGCUUUGAUUAUCAAACACAGAGAAUUUCAGCUCUGGUCUCUUGUCUGAACCAGUCAGAUCCACAAUAUCCAAAAGUGGUUAUCAGCUGAUGAUUGUUUGAUUGCCCGUGAAGUAAGUAGUUCAAACCCUGCUCCCCCAGCGAGACUCAUCUGGUGUUUGUACACCCAUUCCAGGCGCACCAGAACUGUUUGGAGAGGUUGGUGCCUCCAGGCAGCCCCAAGCUCCUUGUAGCCAUCCCUUUGCUGAAGUGAGGGCUACCUCUCACCAGCCUGCUGCCCAGUUGCUGGUGUAAUUGCUUCCAAAACCACCUCAGUCAAAAUGAGCCAAAUAACCUUAAGAAGUUGAAAUAAUUAGUCUCGGCGAACCUGGGAGGUGCUAUAUGAGCCCACCUGCCAGCAGGCUGGAAGAUCCAGUGACCUGCAGCAGCAGGACAGGAGGAUGGGGCUGGGAUCAGUAACCUGUACAGCCAGCACAGCUGCGCCUGAAAGGGGAUUGAAGGGGAUCUACAAAUACUAAGCUGCUUUCUUCACUCUUGUGACAGCUCCAAACCCAUUCCCAGAGACUGAAUCAGAGUAAGAAAUCACCCGCUUGGCCUUACUCAUUGUCCUUUGAUUUACCUCUUAUGGGUACCAGUCAGUUAAUGAUUGUGGCUUAACCUAAUAAGACUAAACCUUAGUCUCAUUACAAGAACAACCAAAUAAUCAUUGUGUUCUGUGAAAACAGAGGUUGACUCUUAACGUACAAGAGAGUUUGUAAUUCUUUGGUCUACAACAAUGUGAAAGUGCUCAGUGCAGCCAAUAUAAAUACUUGUCCUGGACCAGCCCGAUAAACAGCCGCUCCUGUCGACGUUCCUUACACCUCAUAAAGCGAGUGGGAUGGGGUGUGGGCACUCAUGGUUUCUGCCAGCCCUGCAGCCAGGAUGCCUGACCUGGCUGUGAAAGGGCUGCGGUUCCAGUAGUUUUGACAAGCACCGAAUUCACUGUUAAAUAUUUGAACAAAAAAGAUUUUCUUCUGGUGUCAGUAUUUCUUGGGUUGUAGUUUUGCACUGCUGUUGUAUUAUAGAUUGUUUUCUGUACUAACGGGAUGAGCUUAAAUUUUUGUGCAAGGAAGCAGCAGCAAACCAAGGGACAGGUAUGAGGUGUGGCCCUGAGGUUUUAAUUUCUGGAGCCACUUUUUCAGCACAAGCUGCAGAUAAUAACCAUGUAAUGGAAGUUGUCACCUUUUGGCCUCUGCACCUCUAACCCUCAAAUAAUGGCCAAAAAUGUGAAGUCAUUCAAAUUAAAAGUUUUACAUCUGUCAAGCUAUAAAUACAUAGAAGAGAAGGUCUGUUAUUCAGUCAUGUUAAAAAGAAGUUGAAAAGUCUCUGAACUGGAGCAUGGUCGCCAUUAUAUGAGAAUACAUUUUUAAAGAGCGUAAUCUUAUUUUAAUAAAAUCCUCAGUUUAACCUUAA
This is a long non-coding RNA of Falco peregrinus (peregrine falcon), 34967 nucleotides long. RefSeq lists it as uncharacterized. NCBI's taxonomy places the organism in Eukaryota, Metazoa, Chordata, Aves, Falconiformes, Falconidae. The transcript has 2 exons. The record is from RefSeq and is a predicted model, not a curated record.